UACGGAGGAUGCAAGCGUUGUCCGGAAUCAUUGGGCGUAAAGCGCGUGUAGGCGGCCCGAUAAGUCCGCUGUGAAAGUCCAGGGCUCAACCCUGGAAUGCCGGUGGAUACUGUCGGGCUAGAGUACGGAAGAGGCAAGUGGAAUUCCUGGUGUAGCGGUGAAAUGCGCAGAUAUCAGGAGGAACACCGAUGGCGAAGGCAGCUCGCUGGGACGGUACUGACGCUGAGGCGCGAAAGCGUGGGGAGCAAACAGG
This 253-nucleotide ribosomal RNA is filed under the name uncultured bacterium. RNAcentral's name for it is "partial 16S ribosomal RNA". It matches the Rfam family "Bacterial small subunit ribosomal RNA", at positions 524 to 776 of the family's 1533-position model. The record is from RNAcentral.